AACGAACGCUGGCGGCAGGCCUAACACAUGCGAGUCGAGCGAGAUCUUCGGGUCUAGCGGCGGACGGGUGAGUAACGCGUGGGAAUAUGCCCUUCUCUGCGGAAUAGCCUCGGGAAACUGAGCGUAAUACCGCAUACGCCCUUUGGGGGAAAGAUUUAUCGGAGAAGGAUUAGCCCGCGUUGGAUUAGGUAGUUGGUGGGGUAACGGCCUACCAAGCCGACGAUCCAUAGCUGGUUUGAGAGGAUGAUCAGCCACACUGGGACUGAGACACGGCCCAGACUCCUACGGGAGGCAGCAGUGGGGAAUCUUAGACAAUGGGGGCAACCCUGAUCUAGCCAUGCCGCGUGAGUGAUGAAGGCCUUAGGGUUGUAAAGCUCUUUCAGCUGGGAAGAUAAUGACGGUACCAGCAGAAGAAGCCCCGGCUAACUCCGUG
Molecule: ribosomal RNA, 433 nt
Filed under: uncultured bacterium
Lineage: Bacteria
Description: partial 16S ribosomal RNA
Rfam family: Bacterial small subunit ribosomal RNA
Source: RNAcentral